This is a non-coding RNA of Rhopilema esculentum, 4586 nucleotides long. The record is from RefSeq and is a predicted model, not a curated record. Lineage: Eukaryota; Metazoa; Cnidaria; Scyphozoa; Rhizostomeae; Rhizostomatidae.
AAAUGAUACACAAUAUGUCAGUGACAUCCAUCAAACGUGUUGUUAAAAGCCCUUUUAAGAAAGAAAACAGGUGCUCACAUAAAGCCAAUUCUUAUUCAUCUUGUGAUCAUUGUCGAUCAUGACCUUAGGGUUAAUUUCGAAUUCUAAGCGUAGCAGUUUUUAUAUUUUCUCGUAAGUUUAUAGUUUGUUGACAAACAAUAUAAACCUUUGGUUCCAGUAUCAACCAGGAGGAGCCCAUGGCGCUCCUCCUAACAAUCUUAUUGGCAGUUUGCUGUUCUUUAGAGCAUGUAUUCUGUGCCUAUAUUGGAAUAAACUUCAAUGAUAAUCGAGCGAUAAAAGACAGUGAAUUCGACAGGUCCCUUGUGCCAAUGAUUCGGCUACCUCGAGAUGGUGGUGUAUUCUUGCGCCCUAGCGUAUCAUCCAUUUUUAAUCGAGUAGAAUCCGAAGAAAAAGAACUUAGCAAAUAUACUGACAAUGGGCUUAGGCCUGAGAAUGAUAUCAAACCAAUUGUAAGCCGGGGGAAAGAGUUCUCUCAGAUGCUUGAGGAAAAGCGUGAAAAUUACGCAUUAAAGAAAGCAGACGGUAAUUCCGACAAACUCUUAGAGAAUGGUAUGAUUGCCUUCCAAGCUGAGACUGCCGAUGGACAGAAAAAGGAGUUUAUGCGUUCUGAUGAUGGGAAUUGUUACAUUGAUGGAAACAGGAUUAUAAAUAGUGAAGAAAUCUAUCAAAAUGAUUGUGGAACGUUGCAAUGUAUUAAUUCUGAAGUCACUUGGUCGUUGAAACCUUUAUCAAAGACUCUUCCUCAUUGCGAAGGAAUAAAAAGCAUACCAUCGGUGUAUGCAUCAUAUACAAAAAUCAAAGUCGUUGAGGAUGAUGAACCACAACUGGCAAUGCCUGGUGAUAAAUCAACUCUAUCUAGACCAGAUAUUGAUGUUGUGGAUCAAAGGAAGAAAAUCCAAGAAGCAUCCAAAAAGAUGGUACAAGCAGAGCUUUGGGAUUGAUUUUCUACGUUACAGUGUACCUAUAUGAAGCAGCAUGUCGUAUUCUCUGGCUCAAAAUAUUCAAGCCUAGUUUGACUUUAGUGUAAACAACCCCCUUCAUUACAGCUCUGUGACAUUCGCACUUUUCUGGCAUAUGCUACUUAACAAUUGCUCGUUAGAAUUCUUAAGUAACAUGCUGAACCAUAAAUAACUUCCUGGGAGAUAACUCGAGCAGUGUUGUUGCCGUCCGAGCAGGACACGCCCACCUCAAAUUUCCCAGAGGGGGUUCAUCAGAUCGAUUUCGAUUUUUGUUCUUGUCAAAGGGCUGCUUAAGAAAGUUGAUUUUCAAAAAAAUAAAAAAAGAUCAAAAAUACUAAAAAAGGCGUUUCCCACGUUUUCUGAGAGUCUAAAGGGAGUGAUUGAGCAUUUCUUUUGACAGCUUCAAAUUUUUCGAGUUAGCGACGCAACUGACUCGAACUCUCUCUCUCCCCUCCCCUCCCCUCCCCUCCCCUUCCAUUCUCUUUCAAUUUCAAAAAUGCCGCAAUAGAUAUUGUCAUAGAAACAUUGCUAAAAAAAGACUAUGUUCUUUUUAAAACAGACUCGCGGAAAACGUGGGAAACGUCUAUGUUUGUUUUUAAAAACCAAAGAUAAUCGUAGACACAGGUUUGUUCUGAUGAUAAUUGUAACCAGACAUAUUCAAUAAUGGUCAUACCUGCCGAUAAUGCGACAUGUUUACUACAUACCUUCCCUGUUUACAUUAAGGCCACUGAGGCAUUUAAGGAAAAUACCGCUUUGCCUCAUAACAGCAACUGGUUUCGAAGAAAUCUAAAAUAUUUAUAACAGCUCUGUAUAAUAAGCAAUUGAUUAAAGAUUCUGUAAAUAGUUUUUUCAGAUUUCAGAUUUUUUCAGAAGGAAAGAAAAUUUUGGAUUCAUUUAAUCAGGCUUUUUUUACAUUCUUGUAAAUAACUUGCUAAUUUUGUAUAUUCAUUUGAACAUUUUUGCGUGUUGAAAGGUUAUGUACAGAUCGACAUAAUUUUAUGAAUUAAACAUUUUGUAUAAAGUUGUAGAAAAUAUUUUGGUGAAAGUUAAGCACAUAUUUUUGAAGAUUCCAUAUUUUGCUUGUAAAAUUCGUCGAAAAUUCUUACAUGUGUAAAUUACAUUUAAAAAUUCUGGUUAAAGAACUGUACUACUUGAAUUUUUACCUAUAGGUUGAUAAUCAGUGGGUUUUUUUAUGAAGUUUAUCAGAAGAGCAAGUGUACUAUUGACCUAAGCAAGUAUUAGCAAAAAGGUAGUUGUUUGACUUGCUAAUGUUAUUUCUACUCUUGAUUUUAGGCUUAAAUAAUAUUUGGUGUUUUCUUUUUAUUCUAUUAAAAUAUUUGAAACUUCAGGGACAUCAGAAAUGAGGGAUACAAAAGAAAUACUCCGAAUUUUAAGGAAUGCUCUCGUUUUCUUAGAUGUGCUGUCUUGAAAAAUUUUGGAAAAGUGUUGCCUUUUUUAAGAAAAAGUGCCAUUUCCCUUUUGUUUCCGUGCAGCUUUAGAGAGCUUUCAAAAUCCCUCUUAAUCUUUACUUUGGCAACCCAAAGCUAUUUGCAGUCAUGUGGUUUUAAGAGAUGCUAAAUUCAAUCUCUCUAUGAAAUGCACCACCUUGACAAUACAUUCACUCUGUUAUAACCUUCUCUUACUCUUUUGUGUUUAUUUAGAUAGACAUGAAUAAGCCACUAUUGUGUAGACAAAAAGAGUUCGUUUUCACCUAAGGACUCCAUUGGUAGCAUUUUCAAAAGGCAAGUGGCUCUGAUUGGACAAUCCAACAGUCAUGUGCUCGUGUUUCUGAUUGGACUUUUUUGAUCAACAACUGGGUAUAUAUAUAUUUCUUAGCGUAGAUAUUUAAAUCUUUGUUAUGACAUUUAUGCUCUGAAGGUUGUCAGAUGAAAAGCUUUACUACUAUGUUUCAAAAUGUUUGCUUUUUUCAAGGCCAUUUACCAAUUCUGUAUGACAUAUCCUUUCCAAAACCUAUUCUACUGCUCUAAAUUUGUUUUCUUAUUAAUACUUAAUAUACUGUUUUUUAGCCAAAUGCUUUUUUCUUGAGCUAUAUGUGUCACUAAGAAACCCUUAAAGGAUGUCAUUCACACAAAAUCAACCCAUUGCUGAGAUGAGAAUGUCUUUCUCAUACCGGCAUACAUGGAGUACUUAUGACAAAUGCAGGUAAGAGUAACAAAUUUAUUACUCACUUAACAUUGUUUAUUGCAACUUUCCAACAUUUUUUAAUUUCCUUUUGCAGACAAGAAUUUCAGCAAAAUCUCAAAAGAAAAAAACCAAUAAAACUUGCUUCACAAGGGAAAUUCUCAGUUUAACCUACAGUGAAAGUAGAGAUGGAUGAAAGUAGAAAUUUAAAACAAUUAUUAUCUAGUAUGGGUCUGCUUAUUGCGAUUCAUAUGAACACGUGCCUAGUAGCUAUCGUUAAAUCUAAUGUGAUUUAUAAGCUCACGAAAGGUGCUGUGAAUGAGCUUAAAGGAGCAAGUACUUUAAGGGAAACAUAUUGUUCUUUCUUCAGGUUGAUAUUUAAUCUUAUGCAAAUUGAAUCUGUUUAAACGUGUCCAACGAUCGCAGAAGAAGAUAAACUUAUUGCAACAAAUGAUGAGGGCUCUUUAAUAAAUAAAGAACUUUCAGUGUAGUUUGGGAAAAAUUAUGGGCUUUGUUUCCAAUGGCAAGUGAAAUCGCUUUAAACAUACGCAGAAAUUCAUAAGAAAAAACAUUACAACAAAGCUCUGAAUUUACUUAAUAGCAAAACUGAACGCACCUGCUACAAAAACGGCGUGAAAGAAACGGUUAGAAUUAAAACUCGUUUACUUUCAUUGGAAGGAGUAUUGCAUUGAAAGGAACAAGGUUUUAUCGAAACAAGAAAUCAGGCUCUGUAUUUUCAGGUGUAAGCGUGGCUAUGAAAUAAAUGAUACUACACUAGCAGCAGGUGAGGAGAGCAAAGACUUGUAUUUAGAUUUCCUGAACCAUUUGCAUAGACGUGCCUAGAUUCGAAAAGAACAUUUUAUUCACUCGAUGUCUUGGCAGUAAACACAAAUCAAGGCUACAGACAUGUCGUACUAUGAGCGAUUCUUUCAAGUUUCAAUAGCUUUUCUUUACCUGUCGCUUAUUUACGACAUCUAUAAAGUGGCAGUUUGGCUGCUUCAUCUUACAGAUGAUAACAACGAAAGCUCUCUAGGCCACAAGAGGCCUAAUUAUUUGCAGCCAAGGCUUUCUAAAGGCAAAACUACUAAACGAAAAUACGUGCAUCUCAUAAGAAGAGAAGGAAGCCGUGCUGUAUCCCUACAUAAGAAAACUGAAUAAAGUUAUAUAAAGACAAGGAUUUUAUAUUUCAAUAUCCAAAUUUUUACAAAGUCUUAUCAAGAACUUUAGUUUUUAGUGUAGCUUCAGACAGGAUGGUUUUAAGUUGAUACAGGCCUUUCAUUUUAAAGUCCAACUUAACAAUUUAAAGUAGUAUAGAAUGUUGCACAUUCUUCUAGAAGACUUACUGCAGUAGCCAAAUUUGAAGUUGUUUCAGAAGAAAAUAGCUUCGUUAAGUUUCAAUUUUGACAAAUAUUUUUACCAUCAAAA